CCUACGGGAGGCAGCAGUGGGGAAUUUUGGACAAUGGGCGAAAGCCUGAUCCAGCCAUGCCGCGUGCAGGAUGAAGGCCUUCGGGUUGUAAACUGCUUUUGUACGGAACGAAAAGGUCUUUUCUAAUAAAGAAGGCUCAUGACGGUACCGUAAGAAUAAGCACCGGCUAACUACGUGCCAGCAGCCGCGGUAAUACGUAGGGUGCGAGCGUUAAUCGGAAUUACUGGGCGUAAAGCGUGCGCAGGCGGUUAUAUAAGACAGUUGUGAAAUCCCCGGGCUCAACCUGGGAACUGCAUCUGUGACUGUAUAGCUAGAGUACGGUAGAGGGGGAUGGAAUUCCGCGUGUAACAGUGAAAUGCGUAGAUAUGCGGAGGAACACCGAUGGCGAAGGCAAUCCCCUGGACCUGUACUGACGCUCAUGCACGAAAGCGUGGGGAGCAAACAGGAUUAGAUACCCUGGUAGUCCACGCCCUAAACGAUGUCAACUGGUUGUUGGGUCUUCACUGACUCAGUACGAAGCUAACGNGUGAAGUGACCGCGUGGGGAGGUACGGCCGCGAGUAGAACGUACGAAGAAGUAGACGGCGUGAGACGUGCCGACGGACGACGACGAGGGAGGAGG
This 621-nucleotide ribosomal RNA is filed under the name uncultured bacterium. RNAcentral's name for it is "bacterial SSU rRNA". The stretch from base 1 to 540 matches the Rfam family "Bacterial small subunit ribosomal RNA", at positions 338 to 873 of the family's 1533-position model. The record is from RNAcentral.